UUCGCAAUGCCCGAAAGGGUGACGAAGCGACGCCGCGUGUGGGAAGAAGGCCUUCGGGUUGUAAACCACUGUCGGGAGUUAAGAAAUGCAAGGAUAUGAAUAGUGUCUUUGCUUGACUAAGGCUCCGGAGGAAGCCACGACUAACUCUGUGCCAGCAGCCGCGGUAAUACAGAGGCGGCAAGCGUUGUUCGGAAUUAUUGGGCGUAAAGAGCACGUAGGCGGCUAUGUAAGUCGGUUGUGAAAGCCUUCCGCUCAACGGGAGAACAGCAUCCGAUACUACAUGGCUUGAGUGCGGGAGGGGAGAGUGGAACUUCUGGUGGAGCGGUGAAAUGCGUAGAUAUCAGAAGGAACGCCGGCGGCGAAAGCGUCUCUCUGGCCCAUAACUGACGCUGAGUGUGCGAAAGCUAGGGGAGCAAACGGGAUUAGAUACCCCGGUAGUCCUAGCCGUAAACGAUGGGCACUAAGUAGAGGGGUUUU
Molecule: ribosomal RNA, 477 nt
Filed under: uncultured bacterium
Lineage: Bacteria
Description: bacterial SSU rRNA
Rfam family: Bacterial small subunit ribosomal RNA
Source: RNAcentral